This 421-nucleotide ribosomal RNA is filed under the name uncultured bacterium. RNAcentral's name for it is "partial 16S ribosomal RNA". It matches the Rfam family "Bacterial small subunit ribosomal RNA", at positions 360 to 773 of the family's 1533-position model. The record is from RNAcentral.
AAUAUUGGACAAUGGGCGAAAGCCUGAUCCAGCCAUGCUGCGUGCGUGAAGAAGGUCUUCGGAUUGUAAAGCACUUUAAGUUGGGAGGAAGGGCAGUAAGUUAAUACCUUGCUGUUUUGACGUUACCGACAGAAUACGCACCGGCUAACUUCGUGCCAGCAGCCGCGGUAAUACGACGGGUGCAAGCGUUAAUCGGAAUUAUUUGGAGUAAAGCGCUCGUAGGUUGUUUGUUAAGUUGGAAGUGAAAGCCCCGGGCUCAACCUGGGACCUGCUUUCAUAACUGCUGAGCUAGAGUACGGUAGAGGGUAGUGGAAUUUCCUGUGUAGCGGUGAAAUGCGUAGAUAUAGGAAGGAACACCAGUGGCGAAGGCGACUACCUGGACUGAUACUGACACUGAGGCGCGAAAGCGUGGGGAGCAAAC